AAGCUGAAUAAAUAACCAUAUUAAUAAAGGCCAAUAUUUGUCCGAGAUAGGCCUACAGCUAUUUGAAAAUCUGCAAUCCGAGGUUGCAAAAAAAUCAAAAUAUUGAGAAAAUCGCCUUUAAAGUUGUCCAAAUUAAGUUUUUAAUAAUACUAGUGAUUCUAACCGACAGCAUUUGAACGAUAUACUGUUACUAUGGUUACCUUAGUGAGCGUAGCUUCUCGCAAGAGUCUAUUUGCACUUUAACUUAAAUUUAUAAAUAGCUAACGAUACUUAAGAUUUGUCUGUGUAGGCUACAGUGCGAAUAAAAGAUACUUCAAAAAAAGCGUUAGCGGCUUAUUAACUUGUUAACUGAACUUUUAUUGUAGGACGUUCGAAAACGCAUUAACCUAUAUUCUACACUAUAUAGUAGGUAUUUUAAGAUUAACAUUAACAUUUUUGUCUGUUUUAUUGAUAUCAUUUUACGGUUAACACUAUUUCUAUUAAUAUAUUUUUAAAGUAACUGAUUUACAGAAGGGUUUUUGACAAGUUCCAGAUAAACAAAUGGAAGAGGAAAGUGAUUAUGUAAAGUUAGCAUAAUCACAGCAUAAAAUCUGUAUUUUGCAUAGUCAUUUCAAGAGGGGGUUCCACCCCACCAGUAGAUUGCGCAGAGGUGCACCAUCUCUCUCGUCUGUCUGAAGGAGUAUUUCUGCUGUAGGUGGUGGUAUUCAAUUCACUACGCUUCCAGCAGAUGCUGAGUUCAUUCUCCAGUGGAAAAAUGGAGCUGGAUAACAUCACCGGAGAUCACAUUGAGCUUUACGCGCUGACAAAACACCUCAUCUGAGCAAAUACAGUCAGUUUUCAUGUAUAAGUAUUUUAAAUGCUGUGAAACCGUUCAACAUGUGGAUUAAAAUACUAUGGAUAUUUGUUCAAGUUUUGCUUGACACUUCAGUCGAAGCACAGCAUGUGGACCCUGAAGUGGGCUUAACAGCUCAGGAACAAGUUCUCCUGCUGUACGACAUCAAACUACAGUGCCUUCAGAACAUCUCCGAACACAAUCCUGCUGGUAAGACCUCACCUGUGGAUUCUGUUUGGUCCU
This is a long non-coding RNA of Cyprinus carpio (common carp), 1075 nucleotides long. The record is from Ensembl. NCBI's taxonomy places the organism in Eukaryota, Metazoa, Chordata, Actinopteri, Cypriniformes, Cyprinidae.